Molecule: ribosomal RNA, 477 nt
Filed under: uncultured bacterium
Lineage: Bacteria
Description: partial 16S ribosomal RNA
Rfam family: Bacterial small subunit ribosomal RNA
Source: RNAcentral
GAUGAACGCUGGCGGCGUGCCUAACACAUGCAUGUCGAACGAAGCACCUUACCUGAUUCUUCGGAUGAAAGUUUGGUGACUGAGUGGCGGACGGGUGAGUAACGCGUGGGUAACCUGCGCUGUACAGGGGGAUAACAGCUGGAAACGGCUGCUAAUACCGCAUACGCGCACGAGGAGACAUCUCCUUGUGUGAAAAACUCCGGUGGUACAGGAUGGGCCCGCGGCUGAUUAGCUGGUUGGCAGGGUAACGGCCUACCAAGGAACCAAGCAGUAGCCGGUCUGAGAGGAUGAACGGCCACAUUGGAACUGAGACACGAUCCAAACUCCUACGGGAGGCAGCAGUUGGGAAUAUUGCACAAUGGGGGAAGCCCUGAUGCAGCAACGCCGCGUGAGUGAAGAAGUAUUUCGGUAUGUAAAGCUCUAUCAGCAGGGAAGAUAAUGACGGUACCUGAUGAAGAAGCUCCGGCUAAAUACGUG